This 88-nucleotide transfer RNA is filed under the name Staphylothermus marinus F1. RNAcentral describes it as "tRNA-Leu (TAA) (tRNA-Leu-TAA-1-1)". It matches the Rfam family "tRNA". Rfam says of the family: Transfer RNA (tRNA) molecules are approximately 80 nucleotides in length. Their secondary structure includes four short double-helical elements and three loops (D, anti-codon, and T loops). Further hydrogen bonds mediate the characteristic L-shaped molecular structure. tRNAs have two regions of fundamental functional importance: the anti-codon, which is responsible for specific mRNA codon recognition, and the 3' end, to which the tRNAs corresponding amino acid is attached (by aminoacyl-tRNA synthetases). tRNAs cope with the degeneracy of the genetic code in two manners: having more than one tRNA (with a specific anti-codon) for a particular amino acid; and 'wobble' base-pairing, i.e. permitting non-standard base-pairing at the 3rd anti-codon position. RNAcentral also lists the same sequence under 4 other names. The record is from RNAcentral. Lineage: Archaea; Thermoproteati; Thermoproteota; Thermoprotei; Desulfurococcales; Desulfurococcaceae.
GCGGGGGUGCCCGAGCCUGGUCAAAGGGGGCGGACUUAAGAUCCGCUGGCGUAGGCCUGCGUGGGUUCAAAUCCCACCCCCCGCACCA